UACAGAGGGUGCAAGCGUUAAUCGGAAUUACUGGGCGUAAAGCGUGCGUAGACGGUUACAUAAGUCGGGUGUGAAAGCCCCGGGCUCAACCUGGGAAUUGCAUUCGAGACUGCGUAGCUAGGGUGCGGAAGAGGGAAGCGGAAUUUCCGGUGUAGCGGUGAAAUGCGUAGAUAUCGCUUGGAACGCCGAAGGUGAAAACAGGCUGCUGGGGUGGCGCCGACGCUGAGACACGAAAGCCAGGGGAGCAAACGGG
RNAcentral lists this ribosomal RNA (253 nucleotides) under uncultured bacterium. RNAcentral describes it as "partial 16S ribosomal RNA". It matches the Rfam family "Bacterial small subunit ribosomal RNA", at positions 524 to 776 of the family's 1533-position model. The record is from RNAcentral.